This 301-nucleotide ribosomal RNA is filed under the name uncultured bacterium. RNAcentral describes it as "partial 16S ribosomal RNA". It matches the Rfam family "Bacterial small subunit ribosomal RNA", at positions 509 to 809 of the family's 1533-position model. The record is from RNAcentral.
CAGUAGCCACGGGAAUACAGAGGGUGCGAGCGUUAAUUGGAUUUACUGGGCGUAAAGCGUGCGUAGGCGGCUUUUUAAGUCGGAUGUGAAAUCCCUGAGCUUAACUUAGGAAUUGCAUUCGAUACUGGGAAGCUAGAGUAUGGGAGAGGAUGGUAGAAUUCCAGGUGUAGCGGUGAAAUGCGUAGAGAUCUGGAGGAAUACCGAUGGCGAAGGCAGCCAUCUGGCCUAAUACUGACGCUGAGGUACGAAAGCAUGGGGAGCAAACAGGAUUAGAUACCCCAGUAGUCCCUGUCUCUUAUAA